GGAGAGUUGGCUGAGUGGUCGAAAGCGACGGUUUGCUAAACCGUUGUAGGCUUAACCCCUACCCCGGGUUCGAAUCCCGGACUCUCCG
This 88-nucleotide transfer RNA is filed under the name Armatimonas rosea. It matches the Rfam family "tRNA". From Rfam's summary of the family: Transfer RNA (tRNA) molecules are approximately 80 nucleotides in length. Their secondary structure includes four short double-helical elements and three loops (D, anti-codon, and T loops). RNAcentral also lists the same sequence under 1 other name. Lineage: Bacteria; Bacillati; Armatimonadota; Armatimonadia; Armatimonadales; Armatimonadaceae. The record is from Rfam by way of RNAcentral.